CAGGAGGCUGGGGCUGGGAGCAUCCCCGCUGAGCAAGGUGCCGCGGCGUCAGGGCACGGGGUUUUGCCAGGGGGGAAAGAAGGGGAGGGGAAUAAUAGUAAUAAUAGUAGUAGUAAUAAUAAUGAUGGUAAUAAUAAUAGUGGUAAUAAUGAUGAUGAUGAUGAUAGUAGUGAUAAUAAUAAUAAUAAUGGUAAUGAUAAUAAUGAUGAUAAUGGUGAUAAUAAUGAAGAUAAUGAUGAUAAUGAUGAAAAUGAUGAUAAUGAUGAUAAUAAUGAUGAAAAUGCUAACAGUAAUGAUGAAAAUGCUAAGAGUAAUGAUGAAAACGGUAAUAAUACUGAUGAAAACGAUAAUAAUAAUGAUGAAAAUGCUAAGAGUAAUGAUGAAAACGGUAAUAACAACAGGGAAAGUGCUAAUAAUAACGAUGAAAAUGCUAAUAAUAAUGAUGAAAAUGCUAAUAAUACUGAUGUUAAUGGUGAUAGUAUCAAUGUUAACAGUGAUAGUACUGAUGUUGAGGAUGAUAAUACUGAUGCUGAGGAUGGUAAUGCUGAUGUUGAGGAUGGUAAUGCUGAUGUUGAGGAUGGUAACGCUGAUGUUGAGGAUGGUAACUCUGAUGUUGAGGAUGGUAAUGCUGAUGUUGAGGAUGGUAACACGGAUGAUAAUAAAGCUAAUCAGUCAGCGAGAAGGGAGCCCAGCACGGUGUUUUGGCCGCAGCAGCAGCAGCAGAAGCAGCAGUAGAAACAGCAGUAGAAGCAGCAGCAGUACAAGCAGCAGCAGCAGCAGUAGAAGCAGCACUAGAAGCAGCACUAGAAGCAGCAGUAGCAGCACUAGAAGCAGCAGUAGCAGCAGUAGAAGCAGCAGUAGCAGCAGCAGUAUCAGUAGCAGUAUCAGCAGCAGCACUGGGGCGGCGUGGGGCCGGGGGUGGCGGCGGGUCCGGCGGCGUGGCGUGACGUGAAAGUCCCCUUUAAGUUUCCACGGAGAGGCCUCCGGGUGUCACAUGAUGGACAUGAUAUAAUGAAACAACAUUGUGCGGAGGGAAGCAUUAGGGGAGCCCGGGGCGGCGGU
Molecule: long non-coding RNA, 1062 nt
Filed under: Anas platyrhynchos platyrhynchos (common mallard)
Lineage: Eukaryota; Metazoa; Chordata; Aves; Anseriformes; Anatidae
Description: lncRNA (ENSAPLG00000021562.1)
Source: RNAcentral